UCCGUAGGAGGUUAUGCAAGUUCGACGUGAAAUCCCGGAGCUCAACUCCGGAACUGCGUUGAAAACUGCAAAACUAGAGUACUGGAGAGGUAAGCGGAAUACCAGGUGUAGCGGUGGAAUGCGUAGAUAUCUGGUAGAACACCAAAAGCGAAGGCAGCUUACUGGACAGAGACUGACUCUCAAGGACGAAAGCGUGGGGAGCAAACAGGAUUAGAUACCCCAGUA
Molecule: ribosomal RNA, 225 nt
Filed under: uncultured Victivallis sp.
Lineage: Bacteria; Pseudomonadati; Lentisphaerota; Lentisphaeria; Victivallales; Victivallaceae
Description: partial 16S ribosomal RNA
Rfam family: Bacterial small subunit ribosomal RNA
Source: RNAcentral